RNAcentral lists this RNase P RNA (348 nucleotides) under Desulforamulus ruminis. RNAcentral describes it as "RNase P RNA component class B". It matches the Rfam family "Bacterial RNase P class B". From Rfam's summary of the family: Ribonuclease P (RNase P) is a ubiquitous endoribonuclease, found in archaea, bacteria and eukarya as well as chloroplasts and mitochondria. Its best characterised activity is the generation of mature 5'-ends of tRNAs by cleaving the 5'-leader elements of precursor-tRNAs. Lineage: Bacteria; Bacillati; Bacillota; Clostridia; Eubacteriales; Peptococcaceae. The record is from RNAcentral. RNAcentral also lists the same sequence under 1 other name.
UACAGCGAGUAGUCGCUGUUUCGCAAAAACGAAGCAGAGGAAAGUCGAGACACGCACAUCCGACAAUGCCCAAAGGCAAAGUCCGGAUGUAAAAUGGUGCCCGGUGUAAGCCGGGGCAGGGCGACCUGACGACGGUGAAAGCAACUCCUUGAGUUGCCGGUAACCUUAAAGUGCCACAGAAACAAAGUCACCGGGCGACCGGUGAGUGCAAGGGUAAACUCCACCAGCGUGCAACCCAAAUAGGCGGGGGCGUUUGCCACCCGCGGGUAGGGGCACCUCGCCCCGGCGAGGAAGGAGAGGGCAUCUCCUUAGAUAGAUGACUACUGAAACAGAAUCUCGCUUACGGCU